UAAAGUAACAGCCUACUCUCACAUUGUUAAAAAGAAAAUCACCUGAUUCUGUUUUCUUUUCUUUCUAGCAUUUUUCAUCAUACAGCAUUGCCUCAUGGAUUUGUUUGCUGAGUUCCUCAUUGUUUCUUCCUCUCCAUUAAAAUGUUACCUCUGUGAAAUCAGAGACUGCAUCUGUGUUCUGUAUUGUGCGCUGUUACAUCCCUAGUGCCUAGGGCAGUGGCUGUCUCCUAUCAGACUGAAUACAUACGUGCAGUGUGGUGAAUAUGCAGCCCACAUUGAAGGGACAAAGUAAGAUCCUUGCUUUUGUCAUUUGCGCUCUCUCCUCUCCAUUAUGUGGUUUGUCAAGAAUAUCAGAUUAGUAGAGAUAGAAUUAGAAAUCUGUGAUCUCUAUAUCUGAAGAACACAGCAAGGACUUCCAUGUUACAGGAUACAGCCAACCCAGAUGGCCACCUGGUGUGGGAAUGAUACUUGAUUUCAAUUCAAAGUGGCUCGUGCUUCUGGAGCUGUGAGAGAAGAGGAGCUUUGGCCUGUGACAUGAGUAGAUGAGCCUUCACUACAGAGCAGUCCUGGAAGCGAUCACACCAUGGAAAGAUAUGAACACUCAGACCUGCCACUUGUCAGGUGAAAGUGCAGACUUUUCCCCUCAACCACAAUAUCCAGUUGAAGAUUCUAUGCUGGGAAUGAACCAUGGGACUUUGUUAUGAACCUGUGUGAAGUCCCAAAACUACUUCCCACAGGGGAUUUUCCUGGCCCUUUAUCCUCAGCUGGUGCUGAGGAACAUCUACCCACCGAGAAAUUUCCUUGUGACUCCUGCCAAGAACUGAAUUUCACCCCUCCUGCCAAGGGGGUUACAAACUCCAUAAAAAACAAUAACAAGGAGAACAACAACAAAAUGAAAUUUCUUUGAAUAUUUUGGACCAGAUCGAUCACAUUCUUUUUUGAACUCUUAUUAUAUUCACAAAAUGAUAGAGGUAAGCACUUAAUUAUUCUGUCUCACAAGUGUUAAUGUAAUCAAUCUAUUUUGUGGUACCCUUUCAGUCCUCACUCUCAUGUUUAAGAACUGUCCCUGUCUUUCCUACAUAUUUCCAGAUGAAAGAAUGGCUUCUGAGACCACAUUUGUACCUUAC
Molecule: long non-coding RNA, 1127 nt
Filed under: Vulpes vulpes (red fox)
Lineage: Eukaryota; Metazoa; Chordata; Mammalia; Carnivora; Canidae
Description: lncRNA (ENSVVUG00000004814.1)
Source: RNAcentral